UUCGCAAUGCCCGAAAGGGUGACGAAGCGACGCCGCGUGCGGGAAGAAGGCCUUCGGGUUGUAAACCGCUGUCGGGAGUUAAGAAAUGCAAGGAUGUUAAUAGCGUCUUUGCUUGACUAAGGCUCCGGAGGAAGCCACGGCUAACUCUGUGCCAGCAGCCGCGGUAAUACAGAGGCGGCAAGCGUUGUUCGGAAUUAUUGGGCGUAAAGAGCACGUAGGCGGCUAUGUAAGUCGGUUGUGAAAGCCUUCCGCUCAACGGGAGAACAGCAUCCGAUACUGCAUGGCUUGAGUGCGGGAGGGGAGAGUGGAACUUCUGGUGGAGCGGUGAAAUGCGUAGAUAUCAGAAGGAACGCCGGCGGCGAAAGCGGCUCUCUGGCCCAUAACUGACGCUGAGUGUGCGAAAGCUAGGGGAGCAAACGGGAUUAGAUACCCCGGUAGUCCUAGCCGUAAACGAUGGGCACUAAGUAGAGGGGUUUU
Molecule: ribosomal RNA, 477 nt
Filed under: uncultured bacterium
Lineage: Bacteria
Description: bacterial SSU rRNA
Rfam family: Bacterial small subunit ribosomal RNA
Source: RNAcentral